UACUUUUAUUUCUAGAAGGUAAAAUGGCCAAUGUUGGAAUGAUACAGAGAAGAUUAGCAUGGUCCCUGCGCAAGGAUGACACGCAAAUUCGUGAAGCAGUCCAUAUUUUU
Small nuclear RNA from Molossus molossus (Pallas's mastiff bat), 110 nucleotides. Lineage: Eukaryota; Metazoa; Chordata; Mammalia; Chiroptera; Molossidae. The record is from RefSeq and is a predicted model, not a curated record.